RNAcentral lists this ribosomal RNA (253 nucleotides) under uncultured bacterium. RNAcentral's name for it is "partial 16S ribosomal RNA". It matches the Rfam family "Bacterial small subunit ribosomal RNA", at positions 524 to 776 of the family's 1533-position model. The record is from RNAcentral.
UACGUAGGGUGCAAGCGUUAAUCGGAAUUACUGGGCGUAAAGCGUGCGCAGGCGGCUUUGCAAGACAGAUGUGAAAUCCCCGGGCUUAACCUGGGAACUGCAUUUGUGACUGCAAGGCUAGAGUACGGUAGAGGGGGAUGGAAUUCCGCGUGUAGCAGUGAAAUGCGUAGAUAUCGAGAGGAACACCUGCGGCGAAGGCGGGUUGCUGGGCUGAUACUGACGCUGAUGCGCGAAAGCCAGGGGAGCGAACGGG